This 490-nucleotide ribosomal RNA is filed under the name uncultured bacterium. Its description in RNAcentral is "partial 16S ribosomal RNA". It matches the Rfam family "Bacterial small subunit ribosomal RNA", at positions 30 to 507 of the family's 1533-position model. The record is from RNAcentral.
AUUGAACGCUGGCGGCAUGCCUAACACAUGCAAGUCGAACGGUCGCAGAAAGCGCUUUCUUGUUUUGCUUUAGCGUCGCGGACGGGUGUAUCAUGUGUGGAACAUUGCCUGAUGGCGGGGGUUAACUCCUGGAAACGGUAGCUAAUCCCGCAUAACGUCUCAAGCCCAUAGAGGGAGACUUAAAGGCCUCUUGACAUCCGAUUUGACCGGAGUGCAUUAGCUUGUUGGUGGGGUAACGGCUUACCAAGGCGACGAUCCCUAGCCGAUCUGAGAGGGUGAACGGCCACACUGGAACUGAGACACGGUCCAGACUCCUACGGGAGGCAGCAGUAGGGAAUAUUGCGCAAUGGGCGAAAGCCUGAUGGAGCCACGCCGCGUGAGUGAAGAAGGCCUUCGGGUCGUAAAGCACUGUCAUUAGGGAAGAAGAGAUUAAAGAGAAACCGUUUGCACAUUGACGUUACCUAAAGAGAAAGCACCGGCUAACUCCGUG